CAGACCAUUACAAUGUCUAAUCACCCUUUCUGUGAAGAAAUUCCUCCAACCUAAACCUCCCCUGUUGUACUAGAGGAGGCUAAGCUGAGUCCCCCAAAAGAUGACACCUCCACCACAUCCAUCCUCGUCCCACAAUCCCGCUUCUCUGAGAUUUCCAGUUUUCUGGUGGGGGCUGGGACAAAUGUGACACAAACGUGACAAAUCCCCCCCAGCCCCGAGAGCAGGGUGUUUUCAGGCACCAUUGACAUCUGCGGCACCCAGCGCUGGACGCUGCCUCUCUCACGUCCCUCUCGGCAACAUCUGACAUUCCUAAUGGCUUCUGACAACGUUAACUCGCUUUAAUUUGUGUCCUGCCCUUCCCAGAACGUGCAGUUCUCAGACACAUCAGCUCCUGGGUGCUUCCCUUGCUCAGGGCUGUUCUGGGCAGCCGGGGCCGAGCCCCUGCAGCUGAUUCCUGCCCUUUCUCCUCACACCCCCACCCUGCUCCCUUAUCCCGGCUGUCCUUGAGGAGAUACUGACCCAUGCUGGGCUUUCUCCCCCAGCCCUGCUGUUAUUUGAUUAAGGUGCAGUCCCGAGUCAAUGGGAAAGUGCUCCCCGGACCACUGGCACUAAUUGGACCCCAUUGCAGCAGUUUCACCCAGACCUGCAAUUCUCUGUUGAUCUUCCGGGUCGUUGCUUCAAACGUUGCUGUUUGCACAGUAUUUGGCAACCGGGAAUGUUGGCGGGGUGUUUGUUCACAGCUGCCCAACCCCUUCCCUCCUGCUGCCCCAUAAAGAGGGUUUCAGCCGAUCCCAUUAAAACCCAGGAGCUUACUUUAAGACAAGAAACCCUGUGAGGCCUCUGGAGCAUUUGUGCUUAUCCUCGGGCAUAUUUUUUCCCACGUUCACUGCAAUACUCUGCUGGUUAAGCUCCUAAAAGGUUUUCCAGUGAGACGUACGGAGAACUGUAUAGGGCAGGGCUAAGGCACAACGCUUGAUUGUGGAUAUCGAUCCCUCGGCAUUAUUCAAUACCUGGCCUUAUCCCAAACACAGACAUAGACUUUAGUGCAGCUUUUAAACGUUGAAAGCCUUUGUUUGUCAGAGUGGGGGAGCGUGGGGCCGUGACGGGAGGGACGUUUUUGUAAUGCCAGAUUGAUUGAGGCUGCAGCAGUUUUGCUGUUGACAGGAGUUUGUGCAGGAAGACGGAUCGUGCGUGCUCAGUCUCCCUGCAAGGCCUCCCUGUGUUCAGAAUCAGGGACAGGGACACGGCUCUGUUUAUUUUAUUUCUGAGUGUUACAAUUUUCCAGCCUGCCCUCCCCAGGUGAAAGAUGGCAGAGGGGAAUACAGGUGAUGCAGCGAGAGAUCUGCAGGAGGGGAGUUAAAACACAUCAGGCACAUUGAAAUGUAACAGAUAAAGACCUCAGGGUCAUGAUAAUCCCAAGAACAAGCAGGGGAAGGAUGAUAAAGGUGGAUUUAGUGCUCCAAGAAUUGAAUUUGACACAGCUAGACCCCCCAAAACCAUGGACUCAAACCCAGGAAAGCCUUUUUCAGUCCUUUUUCAUCUUAAAUUGAUAAAUUCCUUCCCAGGUGGCCUCCCAUGCUGCAAAGUUUGAGAAAAUUCCCUGGUAUUUCCCUUGUUCAGGAAGCCAGAGCCCAUCUUAUGCCAUCACACUGUCCUGCUACAGAAGCAGAAAUAAUUUCACUGGGAUUAUUGGCAUAUAUCCUUUGUGUUAUUAAAAUGUGGUGAAGAACCCUGAGGAAUUUAUCUAAACAUUCAAUCGCUCCCUGCCUGAAUGACUCACAGGUCCAUAAAAAAGCUGGAAGAAUUGGAGCCAUGGGAUGUGCACGUCCUUCGUGACAACGCAGCAGCAGAAAUUAGCACUCAUCAAUCAUUUGGUGUGCAGACCUUUGAGAUCUGAAAGGACACGCAUUCCCUUUGUUUUCUCCUCUAUCCUACAUCUUGUCUAGAUUUCCUGAGCUCCUCAAAGCUCACUCAGGGACUUACCUGAACAGAUGGAGUCCAGCAAUUAAGAAGAACCCAGCAUUCCUGUGUAUGGAUAACAGGAAUAUCUUUCACUGGAUUAGACAAAAUAAAAAUGAAACCCCUGGUAUUUCAACAGCGGCCUAAGAGGACCAGAGGAAAAGGCACCAUAGCCAGGCCCCGAGGAUGAGGUUACCAAAAAGUAAGAGGAAAUAGAAACCACUGCUGAGAAAACGUGAGCAAGGAGUUCCAACCUCGAGUUUCCACGGGAUCAGCGAUGGGCUUUGCUCUUCUCCCUAUCCCGUGAACUUCCAGCAGCACAAGCACACGGAGAAUCUCAGAGAGGAGCAGCAGUGAUGCCAAAAACAUCUAUGGCACAAGUCAAGUCGCUGCCUGGAGUACUUGCACCUGCUUUCCCAGGACUGGCCUGCAGAGCCUGCAGCUGCUUCCCUGCAGCGGGAAUGGCGUCAGUUGGGAAUUCGUGGUUGGACUCAAUGACGUUAAUUAAAGCUCUUUUCCAACCUAACGAUUCCAUGUCUCUUUACAUGAUCUGUGUAUGGAAAUAUGCAAAAUCCUCAGAGUGAGAGUCAUCGUUGCUGGGGAACUUCAAGCAGAGAGGAACUGAGAGCCCAGGACAGGGUGAGGAUCCCUUCAGGGCCCUGGACUCAGGGCUCACACACAAUCCCCAGGCUGGUGAAACUCCUCCCCAUCCCUUCACCACUUCGGACAACCUCCAAAGCACAACUUCUGCCUCUUCUUUCAAGGGUUUAUGGCACCAUUUUCACAGUACUUUGCAUAAUUAUGGCUUUGUUCACUCAAAAAAAAUCAUGAGAUUGACUAAAAUCUUUGCUUUUAUAAAGAAUACACCAGGAGGAUUUCUCUGGCACUGCUGGUAGCUCAGGCCACAGGACUCCAAAAUCACAUUUCCAAAUCUUACCAGUAACUCCAUGGUUAAAUUAAGCAGGUAAUUAAUUGUGUAACUACACCCUGCAACAGCAAUCGAAGAAUGGCAUUGAGGAGACACGAAUCCAAGCACUCCCAAACCAGAGAAAAGCCUGGAAUCUGGCUGCCUGUUCUUUCUCCACAGCUUCUGUGCGUAACACCCCACCAGGCUCUACAAAUGCUGACUGUUUUUCCCUGAGACAGCUGCCUUGCCCGGAAUGGAGGAUGCUCCAUAAAGGGAACAGCUAUUCAGAGUUAUCCUCAUUCAUCAGUGCCUGAUUUGUCAUUCCAGCCCUGCUCUAGAACCAGAAACUCUUUCCCAGGCCUUUUCCCAUUCCCUCUCACUGCAGGGAGUCAGUCAGGGCUGCCCAAAACUUGGACGUCAGCUUGAAGAAUGAAGUCCUCUGGAUCCACAUAUUCCCAGAGGUCGGAAUCCCCUUUUUCUUUCCCAGAAGUGUUUCUCUUUUCCCCAAUUAGAUACAAACCAAACCCUGUAGAGAGGACUUUUUCUCCUGGCCAUCCCUCACACAGCCCUGCUUAUUUAUCCACUGUGCUGCCUGAGAACUUUGCUUCUGUCAAAGAAAAAUUCAUGAAUUCCUUUCCUCCAGGAACAUCAGCAUGUUCUCAGAAUCACAGAGUCACAGAAUGCCCUAAGUUGGAAGGAGCCCCCAAGAAUCAUCAAAAGUCCAGUUUCUUCUGCUGUCCUCUACAUUUAUUGAUCCCACUUGGGUGACCCCCACUUCCCAAAUUUCUGCAUCUUCUCCCUCCCUCUUUGCUUGUUCCAUCUAAACUUCCCUUCCACUUCCUGUCCCCUCUCCCCAAACCCAAAUAAACCCACAUUCUUGACCCCUAA
Molecule: long non-coding RNA, 3754 nt
Organism: Corvus hawaiiensis (hawaiian crow)
Lineage: Eukaryota; Metazoa; Chordata; Aves; Passeriformes; Corvidae
Exons: 3
Source: RefSeq, a predicted model, not a curated record